RNAcentral lists this long non-coding RNA (970 nucleotides) under Mytilus galloprovincialis (Mediterranean mussel). The record is from RNAcentral. Lineage: Eukaryota; Metazoa; Mollusca; Bivalvia; Mytilida; Mytilidae.
ACAAUCAUACAACAUUUCCUUAUUUUUAUAUAUUAACAAGCUCUAGUGUUCAAUUUAUGAAAGAGUGGAAAGCUGCAAAUAAUCUUUCAAGUCGGUGUUUCGAAUAAGCAUCAAUUCACGCUUUGACACAACACGGACACAUUCGAAGAGGUUUGUUUUUACUAUUAAAAAAACCAAGUUAUAGUUAUUCCUUUUUGUUUUUUUAAACAUACGCAUCUUAUUUUUAUUUUUUCAGAGGUACCUAUUUAGUUGUAACGAAAUCGCACUUUGACAACCGCUUUCACAUAGUAGCAUUUGAUGGUCAGAAACUUUUUGAUAUUAACCUGCAAGAUGAUUAUGUGAACGCUAUACAACCGGGUAAAAUAUAUCAAUUUAAUGUUAUGUAUCCAACUUCAAUCGCAGCAAAGACAAAUAGUGUGCAAGGGCAACCAAAGCCCAUUAAAAUGCCUCCAUUUGGUAUGUUCUGUGCGCUCGGAAAAUUGGCUUACACUGCUUUUAAUGAUAUGUUUAAGGUGUCACCCGAAGAACCAUAUCUAGACGUCGGAACUAAUAUACCUCCACCAAAAGCGUAUCUUUGCCAAGGAGACCGCAUAAAGAAACAACUAAUGUCUGAUGGUAAAACUAGAUGUCUUAUCAAGAUAGAUAGCAGGGAAAUGAACCUGCAGUAUGCUGGAUAUGGCAUAAAUGGUGUCCAUUUGGAUAGCUUUGAUGGAUUACCUAUCGAGUAUGAUCCGGACUUAGCAUGGCGCACAUAUACACUCAUACUCCUUAUUGCAGAUUCAAUUACCGGCGCAUGGUAUGGACCAAGAAAUUACAUCAUUGUGGGCGCAAUAUUUUAGUUUUAUAACACCUAGGAAAACAUUUUAAAAUAUCUUAAUUCAUUUAAAAGAAAAUUUAUUAUUUGAUUACAUUUGAUAUAAUCAUGUUUAUUAUUUAUUUUGAUAUAACAUAGAUGUAAGGCAAUCUCUCC